RNAcentral lists this long non-coding RNA (202 nucleotides) under Ananas comosus (pineapple). RNAcentral describes it as "long non-coding RNA (ACOM_LNC035257)". The record is from RNAcentral. Lineage: Eukaryota; Viridiplantae; Streptophyta; Magnoliopsida; Poales; Bromeliaceae.
AGGGUAAAAAUAAAAAUAGUGUGAGAUACUAUUUUUAUUGGACUUAUAGAAAUACAAUAUAAGUUAGGAUUGACUCGUGCGGAAAUCGGAGCGAGAAUAGAAGAUUUUGAAUUUUCUGUGUGAAUCGAGGCUGUUAUUUUAGCAGAAAAAGUGUCAGAAAAUUCCAAAAAUAUGAAAAAAUGUUAGGAUUAUUUUUAUGAGG